GGAAGGGCCACCCGACCGGCGACGGGACCCGUUUGGAAGACGGGCGAGGCUCACAAGCCUUGCGGGUUCGACUCCCGCCCCUUCCG
RNAcentral lists this small RNA (86 nucleotides) under Paludisphaera borealis. Its description in RNAcentral is "tRNA-Ser". It matches the Rfam family "Selenocysteine transfer RNA". Lineage: Bacteria; Pseudomonadati; Planctomycetota; Planctomycetia; Isosphaerales; Isosphaeraceae. The record is from RNAcentral.